RNAcentral lists this ribosomal RNA (497 nucleotides) under uncultured bacterium. Its description in RNAcentral is "partial 16S ribosomal RNA". It matches the Rfam family "Bacterial small subunit ribosomal RNA", at positions 28 to 507 of the family's 1533-position model. The record is from RNAcentral.
GAUGAACGCUGGCGGCGUGCCUAAUACAUGCCAGUCGAGCGAACAGAUGAGGAGCUUGCUCCUCUGACGUUAGCGGCGGACGGAUGAGUAACACGUGGAUAACCUACCUAUAAGACUGGGAUAACUUCGGGAAACCGGAGCUAAUACCGGAUAAUAUAUUGAACCGCAUGGUUCAAUAGUGAAAGACGGUUUUGCUGUCACUUAUAGAUGGAUCCGCGCCGCAUUAGCUAGUUGGUAAGGUAACGGCUUACCAAGGCAACGAUGCGUAGCCGACCUGAGAGGGUGAUCGGCCACACUGGAACUGAGACACGGUCCAGACUCCUACGGGAGGCAGCAGUAGGGAAUCUUCCGCAAUGGGCGAAAGCCUGACGGAGCAACGCCGCGUGAGUGAUGAAGGUCUUCGGAUCGUAAAACUCUGUUAUUAGGGAAGAACAAAUGUGUAAGUAACUAUGCACGUCUUGACGGUACCUAAUCAGAAAGCCACGGCUAACUACGUG